GCAAUAUCGACUUAGUCGAAUAAAAUUCUAGGUAGAAUUAUGAUAAUGACAUUGUCUACCUAUAUGUCUUGACCAAAUUACGUGCCAGCAGUCGCGGUAAUACGUAGAAGACUAGUGUUAUUCAUCUUUAAUAGGUUUAAAGGGUACCUAGACGGUAAAUCAAGCCUGGAAAGGGACUAGUUUACUAGAGUUACUUGUGAGGGGGCAUUAAAGUACUAAUGGUGGAGAGAUGAAAUUCUGUAAUACCAUUUUGUAGAGGAAGUGAUGGCACAGGUAUAGGCGAAAGCAUCCCCUUAUGUGAUAACUGACGUUGAAGGACGAAGGCUUUGUGUAGCGAACAGGAUUAGAUACCCUGGUAGUCUAAGCAGAAAAUGAUGAAUGUCAUAGAUUAGACACUUAAUAGUUUAUUCUAUAAAUGAAAGUGUAAGCAUUCCACCUCAAGAGUAAUUUGGCAACAUUGGAACUGAAAUCAUUAGACCGUUUCUGAAACCAGUAGUGAAGUAUGUUGUUUAAUUUGGUAAUCCGCAAAAAACCUUACCACAAUUUGAAUAUUUAUAUUUCGACUUUUUUUUGUUUUCAUAUUUUUUUUCUUUUGUGAUAAAAGAGAUUAGAUAAACUAUAAAAAAAAAAGUAAAGAUAUUUUUACAAGCGUUGCACGGCUGUCUUCAGUUAAUGUCGUGAGACUAUGGUUAGUUCCAUUAAAUUAACGCAAACCCUUACUUUAUUUUUACAUAAAGUAGUUCCCCAUUAUAU
RNAcentral lists this ribosomal RNA (753 nucleotides) under Lecanora kohu. Its description in RNAcentral is "partial small subunit ribosomal RNA". It matches the Rfam family "Bacterial small subunit ribosomal RNA", at positions 407 to 1161 of the family's 1533-position model. The record is from RNAcentral. Lineage: Eukaryota; Fungi; Ascomycota; Lecanoromycetes; Lecanorales; Lecanoraceae.